RNAcentral lists this ribosomal RNA (406 nucleotides) under uncultured bacterium. RNAcentral's name for it is "partial 16S ribosomal RNA". It matches the Rfam family "Bacterial small subunit ribosomal RNA", at positions 28 to 526 of the family's 1533-position model. The record is from RNAcentral.
GACGAACGCUGGCGGCAGGCCUAACACAUGCAAGUCGAGCGAGUGGCGGACGGGUGAGUAAUGUCUGGGAAACUGCCUGAUGGAGGGGGAUAACUACUGGAAACGGUAGCUAAUACCGCAUACCAUCAGAUGUGCCCAGAAGGGUUUAGCUAGUAGGGGGGGUAAUGGCUCACCUAGGCGACGAUCCCUAGCUGGUCUGAGAGGAUGACGAGCCAAACUGGAACUGAGACACGGUCCAGACUACUACGGGAGGCAGCAGUGGGGAAUAUUGCACAAUGGGCGCAAGCCUGAUGCAGCCAUGCCGCGGGUAUGAAGAAGGCCUUCGGGUUGUAAAGCACGUUCAGCGGGGAGGCGUUACCCGCAGAAGAAGCACCGGCUAACUCCGUGCCAGCAGCCGCGGUAAUUC